Anguilla anguilla (European eel) is the source of this 1153-nucleotide long non-coding RNA. RefSeq lists it as uncharacterized. The record is from RefSeq and is a predicted model, not a curated record. The transcript has 3 exons. NCBI's taxonomy places the organism in Eukaryota, Metazoa, Chordata, Actinopteri, Anguilliformes, Anguillidae.
CCUGGUGUGAGAGCGUAGCGCAGCCUCUUCCCAACUCGGACAAAUUGUGCGAACAGCACCUUUCUGCCUUUAUUUGAAUUUGAUAGAUCGAUUCCGUCACACGUUUUUGUGAAUUUGACUUCCGACUCGAUUUAGCCAUUUAUAAGUUAAAGAGUAAUUCUAAACAAAUAAUACCAUUCAUGAAAAUGUUACAGAAGAGAUCAAAGUCACAGAGGCCAGCACUUGCUAUGCCACUUUGUCAAACUUUGAUCCACCGCAUAAGUGGGUGUUAAUGGUAUCACAUGAGUUUAUUCAUUGUUUCUCAAGUACUGUCCCAACGUAUUGGGGCAGUAUAUUCUCUCUGAUCGGUAACAAGGCGCAAUUGACAGGUGAUUGGGACCUGGAGCCAUUGUUCUCUCCGCGCCUCUAUACCAGCACAGCAAUCAGCAAGUAUGCGCGAGAUCUCCCACCCAACAGCUUCCCUUGCAGAAAGAAGCGUCUAUUCCAAAAGAUGAAUUCCAAAGGCCUCAACAGACUCCUGAACUGGACUGUACAGAAUACCCCUCCAAUGACAGGUCAAAGGUCAGCCCUUCCUGAUCUGCAGUCUGCACUAAUCUCAGCAUUUAGAGAACAUGAACAUGGCUGUUUUGGUGAUGGAAAAAUUAGGCCUACACUGUGUCCUGAUCUUCAUUAGCCAGAAACUUCAGAGCUGCCCCUGCAGACUGUCUUUUUUCACAGAACCACACAGAUAUUAGUCUGCACAUGCUCAUAAUGGUCAGAUAUUAGUCUGCACAUGCUCAUAAUGGUCAGAUAUUAGUCUGCACAUGCUCAGAAUGGUCAGAUAUUAGUCUGUACAUGCUCAGAAUGGUCAGAUAUUAGUCUGCACAUGCUCAGAAUGGUCAGAUAUUAGUCUGCACAUGCUCAUAAUGGUCAGAUAUUAGUUUGCACAUGCUCAGAAUGGUCAGAUAUUAGUUUGCAAAUGCUCAGAAUGGUCAGAUAUUAGUUUGCACACGCUCAUAAUGGUCUUACUCCUGGUGGGGUCCCCCCAAUACAUACUACUGCCACUUUACCCACUGUCUGUUAUAUUGCAAAUUCCCUAAUUGCCGUUUCUACCCCACACUGCCUGGCUCUUGCUCCAAUCUUCGAGAGUGCUGUCGUCUGGUCUCCCCCCACC